RNAcentral lists this ribosomal RNA (492 nucleotides) under uncultured bacterium. Its description in RNAcentral is "partial 16S ribosomal RNA". It matches the Rfam family "Bacterial small subunit ribosomal RNA", at positions 29 to 507 of the family's 1533-position model. The record is from RNAcentral.
AGUGAACGCUGGCGGUAGGCCUAACACAUGCAAGUCGAACGGCAGCACAGUAAGAGCUUGCUCUUACAGGUGGCGAGUGGCGGACGGGUGAGGAAUACAUCGGAAUCUACUUUUUCGUGGGGGAUAACGUAGGGAAACUUACGCUAAUACCGCAUACGACCUACGGGUGAAAGCAGGGGAUCUUCGGACCUUGCGCGAUUGAAUGAGCCGAUGUCGGAUUAGCUAGUUGGCGGGGUAAAGGCCCACCAAGGCGACGAUCCGUAGCUGGUCUGAGAGGAUGAUCAGCCACACUGGAACUGAGACACGGUCCAGACUCCUACGGAAGGCAGCAGUGGGGAAUAUUGGACAAUGGGCGCAAGCCUGAUCCAGCCAUACCGCGUGGGUGAAGAAGGCCUUCGGGUUGUAAAGCCCUUUUGUUGGGAAAGAAAAGCAGCAGGUUAAUACCCCGCUGUUCUGACGGUACCCAAAGAAUAAGCACCGGCUAACUUCGUG